RNAcentral lists this unclassified non-coding RNA (324 nucleotides) under Bombus terrestris (buff-tailed bumblebee). RNAcentral's name for it is "misc RNA ENSBTSG00005037099.1". Lineage: Eukaryota; Metazoa; Arthropoda; Insecta; Hymenoptera; Apidae. The record is from RNAcentral.
AGAGGGUUAUUUUGUUCUGUAUGUUUAGUUUGGAGCGUCGGCCCGUGAGUCAAUAGAAUUUUCUUAGUUUUUCCUUUAAUUGCUUUGUUUUUUCUGAGAUAUGUUUUUUCCAAGUUAGCCUCCUGUCCAGGGUCAUGCCCAGGUAUCUUACGGAGUCCUUGCUUGGGAUUAAUGUGUUGUUAAUGGUGACCUGGGGGCAGGUUUGUUUUCGGGGCCCGAAUUGGUGGUCUGGGAGUAUUUUCAAUUCUUCUAGGAGUGGAAGGAGACGAUUCGUGAGCAUCCUCUCGAAUAGUUUAGACAGGGUAGGUAAAAGACUGAUUGGGC